Molecule: long non-coding RNA, 241 nt
Filed under: Elaeis guineensis (African oil palm)
Lineage: Eukaryota; Viridiplantae; Streptophyta; Magnoliopsida; Arecales; Arecaceae
Description: long non-coding RNA (EGUI_LNC053479)
Source: RNAcentral
UGGUAAGAUCAAAAGCAACUAGGCUUUGGUGCGAUCGUAAUGUAAGUUCGAAGCCGAUAGUGUUCUUCAGGAGAUUAGACUGAAACAACGCAUCAGUGAGGAAGGACCUUGGCUAACUUUCAUGUGGAUCACCAUUGGAGGACUUCUAUCUUAGGGUCUUGUGAAAAACACCAACAUGCCAUUUUUUUAUUUUGAUGAAAGUAUAAAAUUCUAUCCCUUUUGCCUGCUUGUUUUUGUUUUA